AACGAACGCUGGCGGCAGGCCUAACACAUGCAAGUCGAACGCCGUAGCAAUACGGAGUGGCAGACGGGUGAGUAACACGUGGGAACGUACCCUUCGGUUCGGAAUAACUCAGGGAAACUUGAGCUAAUACCGGAUACGUCCGAGAGGAGAAAGAUUUAUCGCCGAAGGAUCGGCCCGCGUCUGAUUAGCUUGUUGGUGAGGUAACGGCUCACCAAGGCGACGAUCAGUAGCUGGUCUGAGAGGAUGAUCAGCCACAUUGGGACUGAGACACGGCCCAAACUCCUACGGGAGGCAGCAGUGGGGAAUAUUGGACAAUGGGGGCAACCCUGAUCCAGCCAUGCCGCGUGAGUGAUGAAGGCCUUAGGGUUGUAAAGCUCUUUUACCUGGGAAGAUAAUGACGGUACCAGGAGAAUAAGCCCCGGCUAACUUCGUGCCAGCCGCCGCGGUAA
RNAcentral lists this ribosomal RNA (449 nucleotides) under uncultured bacterium. Its description in RNAcentral is "partial 16S ribosomal RNA". It matches the Rfam family "Bacterial small subunit ribosomal RNA", at positions 29 to 523 of the family's 1533-position model. The record is from RNAcentral.